GACGAACGCUGGCGGCAUGCCUAAUACAUGCAAGUCGAGCGAACAGAUGGAGUGCUUGCACUUCUGACGUUAGCGGCGAACGGGUGAGUAACACGUAAGGAAUCUACCUAUAAGCGGGGGAUAACAUUCGGAAACGGGUGCUAAUACAGCAUAAUAUCCUCUUCCGCAUGGAAGAAGAAUGAAAGACGGCUCUGCUGUCACUUAUAGAUGACCUUGCGGUGCAUUAGUUAGUUGGUGGGGUAACGGCCUACCAAGAAGAUGAUGCAUAGCCGACCUGAGAGGGUGAUCGGCCACAUUGGGACUGAGACACGGCCCAAACUCCUACGGGAGGCAGCAGUAGGGAAUCUUCCGCAAUGGGCGAAAGCCUGACGGAGCAAUGCCGCGUGAGUGAAGAAGGCCUUCGGGUCGUAAAACUCUGUUAUAAGAGAAGAACAAAUUGUAGAGUAACUGCUACAGUCUUGACGGUAUCUUAUCAGAAAGCCACGGCUAACUACGUGCCAGCAGCCGCCGUAA
RNAcentral lists this ribosomal RNA (513 nucleotides) under uncultured bacterium. RNAcentral's name for it is "partial 16S ribosomal RNA". It matches the Rfam family "Bacterial small subunit ribosomal RNA", at positions 28 to 523 of the family's 1533-position model. The record is from RNAcentral.